GGCUGGUUAGCUCAGUCGGUUAGAGCGUGGUGCUGGUAACACCAAAGUCGUGGGUUUGAUCCCCGUUCGGUCCU
Molecule: transfer RNA, 74 nt
Filed under: Apaloderma vittatum (bar-tailed trogon)
Lineage: Eukaryota; Metazoa; Chordata; Aves; Trogoniformes; Trogonidae
Rfam family: tRNA
About the family: Transfer RNA (tRNA) molecules are approximately 80 nucleotides in length. Their secondary structure includes four short double-helical elements and three loops (D, anti-codon, and T loops).
Source: Rfam by way of RNAcentral